CCUACGGGAGGCAGCAGUGAGGAAUAUUGGUCAAUGGGCGUAAGCCUGAACCAGCCAAGCCGCGUGAGGGAUGAAGGUUCUAUGGAUUGUAAACCUCUUUUAUAAGGGAAUAAAGUGCGGGACGUGUCCCGUUUUGUAUGUAUCUUAUGAAUAAGGAUCGGCUAACUCCGUGCCAGCAGCCGCGGUAAUACGGAGGAUUCGAGCGUUAUCCGGAUUUAUUGGGUUUAAGGGGUGCGUAGGCGGCCUUUUAAGUCAGAGGUGAAAGUCCGUGGCUCAACCAUAGAAUUGCCGUUGAAACUGGGCGGCUAGAGUGUGGUUGAGGCAGGCGGAAUGCGUGGUGUAGCGGUGAAAUGCUUAGAUAUCACGCAGAACCUCGAUUGCGAAGGCAGCCUGCCAAGCCAUGACUGACGCUGAGGCACGAAAGCGUGGGGAUCAAACAGGAUUAGAUACCCCAGUAGUC
This 460-nucleotide ribosomal RNA is filed under the name uncultured bacterium. RNAcentral's name for it is "partial 16S ribosomal RNA". It matches the Rfam family "Bacterial small subunit ribosomal RNA", at positions 338 to 795 of the family's 1533-position model. The record is from RNAcentral.